RNAcentral lists this ribosomal RNA (465 nucleotides) under uncultured bacterium. Its description in RNAcentral is "partial 16S ribosomal RNA". It matches the Rfam family "Bacterial small subunit ribosomal RNA", at positions 29 to 507 of the family's 1533-position model. The record is from RNAcentral.
AAUGAACGUUGGCGGCGUGGAUUAGGCAUGCAAGUCGAGCGAAAACCCCGCAAGGGGGGACAGCGGCGAAAGGGACAGUAAUGUGUAGAUUAUCUGCCCUCAGGUCCGGGAUAGCUGCGGGAAACUGCAGGUAAUACCGGAUAACAUCUCCGGAUCAAAGGUGUGAUUCCGCCUGAGGAUGAGUCUGCAUCCUAUUAGCUAGUUGGUGGGGUAAUGGCCUACCAAGGCAUUGAUGGGUAGCAGGUGUGAGAGCACGACCUGCGUCAUUGGGACUGAGACACUGCCCAGACACCUACGGGUGGCUGCAGGCGAGAAUCUUCGGCAAUGGGCGCAAGCCUGACCGAGCGACGCCGCGUGUGGGAUGAAGGCCGUCGGGUUGUAAACCACUGUCAGAGGGGAUGAAAUGCAGGUGGGUUCUCCCAUCUGUUUGACAUAGCCUCAGAGGAAGGACGGGCUAAGUUCGUG